CCUCCCCCGCCCUCCCUCUCUCUCCCACCUGACGUCAGUCAGUCUACUCUCUCAGUCUUUCUCAGUCACUGCAGGGUGCUGCUGUGUGCAGUUAGAAGGACCAUGGAUUUUCUGAUACUGCUAUCCUUGUGCCUAGUCAGCUGGAGAGGUAAAUGGAGAUCUAUUCUGUUAGAGGAGGGAUGGACAGAACCAUCAACACACUGUCUAUCUGUGCUCAGAUUAAUGAUUAUCAUAUAGUUAACCCUUAACUGUGAGGGACAUGCAACAUACAGCUUUGGGUGCCCACCACACUUUUACUAAAAAGGUGAAUUCUGAGUGGAGAUUUCAUUUACAGUAAGAAAAAAACCCCCACUGUGGUUUAAAUAGAAUGUAUUGAUUAUUUAAGCAUUAAGCUCUGUGUGAUGGGGGUUAUGUUCCCCCCAUAAAUCAGAUUUACAGGAGUUGUUUUAUUCAGCUACAUAAGGUAACUUUUGUAUUUGAAAGGAUUUAAGGGUCAUGGUAGACUUUUGCUGAGCUCAUGAAAUGUAAGAAGUUGUUUUCAGUGCUAAGCAUGGCAAUAUGUAGGUUCUUACAUCACAUAUCGGCAGUAGGAGGUGCGGUUAGAUGUAUAAAUGGACCAGAAGUGAUACAGGCAUCAGAUCAGGUUUAAGAUUUUGGCUACCAUUCGUUGUGUACCUUUGUGCGUGUUUUACGGGCAAUCAUUGAUAGGUUAGGCAUUAUGGUGAAUGCUGGUGCAGCGUUUCUAAACAUUUAAUUGGUUUCCAUGGUGACUGUUCCAACUAGGCUCCAGAAUUGUUCUUUUAAGUAAACACUACAUAGUGAUGUGUUUGACUGGGACUGUAUUUAUUACUGUAUAUGUGUUAGUACCCUUCUCUCUUAUGUAGCUAUCUAUGCACAAGUAUUUUCACUGUGUAUGUGAAUGUUUUUCAUAUUCACAAAUAUAAAUCUGAUUUGUAUGUCUAAUGAUCAUUUACAUCUACAAUUUCUAUGUUUCUAUGUACUACUUUUUUUAAGUCGUGCAAGCUUUGUCUGUAGUCUCAAUUUUUGCUAUUCUAGCGAGACAAAGGUUACCUGGAUUUACCUGUAAUUUUUUUUAAAUAAAGAUAAAACAUUUAUGAAUUAAAAUAUAUAAAAAAAACUUUUGAAAAAAUCACAUUCACUUAACUUUAGAAAGUUCUCAUGAAAUCAAGCAACUCCAGUGUACACCUGUCCUCUUAUGUUUAAGUAAUUGUUUGGGUGGUAUGGGGGGUUGAUUGUUGUCAUAUUUGCUCUUCUCUGUGUUUUUAUAAAGUUAUAUUUUAAACUAUGAUUUUGUGUUACCUGGGUAUAAAUAUAUGCUUUUCUCUCUUUGGCAGCCUGCAUGGUUCUUUAUGUUAUCACUCUGGGCUUUGCUGUUAGACAGUGUGUGAUUAUGAUCCUUCAUUGCUUUGUAAGUGAAUGUUAGCAAGUGGAAUGUUGUGACUGAUGCUGUGUAUGAUACAUGCACUGUGAAUGUGUGACAUCUUGGUUCAGUAAACUUUUUGGUUAUUCAUUUUGAUGGGUGUACCCCCCUGCUUCACCCCACCCUCUGUUACUUCUCCUUGUCCUUUCUUCUUCUGACACACUAGCCAAAUUGUCUAUCUUUUGACUUAUACUGAUGCAUAUUUAGAAAUUCCAAAAGGAUCUCCUUUUUCAUAAACUGGAUGCAACUGACCUCAUGUCGUUAUUCUCGACACGCCAUCAUUAUAAUAGGGAUUUAGUGACGCCAGCAUUCCCAACCCAAAUUCUCAUUUCAGUGUCCUCUUAUCGUAGAAUAGAUUCAAGGAGCACCCUUCCUUCCUCGUAUUACAGUCCUCAUUAUUCUGGUGUUAAAUGACGCUAUCUGCCCCCGCUGCCUGUGACCCCAGUAUAAUUAUAUAGGGGAUUCCAAUGUCCUCAUAAUACAAACAGCUCCAAUGUUCUCUAAAAUUAUGCAAACUCUUUCAGAGAUGCUAUUAUGAAAAGAAGUUCCCAUGUCCCCACUUUGUAAUGAGAGAUCCACCACUUUUUCUUAAAAGAAAGUAUUAUUAUUUCACUCUCAUUUAAGCACAGAAUUACAAGGUUCUCUAUGAAUUCUAUUCAAUAAACAGUUAUACGUUCCAACAGAUGUAGAGUCAUAAUGAGGGCACUUUUAAAAUGUUAUCACGCAGAAUACUCACAUCUAUAACCGUCUAUUCAUUUUGUUGAACUUGUAGACUCUUCUUCAGUUGUGCGGAUAAAACUCAAUUUAUUAACGUUGAGAUUAUUUGAAAAUUACUGUAAUAAUCACUUAAUAUGACCUUCAUAGAACAAAUUACAGUGCUAGUCUCUGUUGUCUUUCUCAGACAUAUACAUGCCCCACACCUGUUGAGAUAUCAUUCAUGUGCACGUAUAUUUAAAGUGACACUGCACACAAACUAGUGAACUCGCUCUCUUAGUAUAUUCCUUUAACUUCAAUAAUUAUGUAAUGUGCAUAAAAUAGUUGUAGAUCGCUGAUCCAGGAUUAAAAAAAUAUUAUUCAGAAAUGAUUCCUUUUUAUAAUGGGUUUUGGACAGUUAAAAUGGAAGCAGGUGGGCAACACAAUUUUCUUUUGAAAUGCCAAAUUGGCAUGAGAAAAAUGCCAUAAUAUAUUCAAAUUGAAACAAAAAGAGAAUCCCCACUUUUUGAAAAAAAAAAAAGAAUCCAUGUCAGAAUCUCAUCUAAAAUUGACUGAGCUCAAUUAAAUGAAAAUUUUGGAAGAAAUCUGCUCCCAGCUUAAUCAUGGAAGGUUUCCUCCAGAUUUUGCGCAAAAUCAUUUUUGAAAGCAGUAGGGUUCCAUGACAAUAGAAACCCCAGAGAUGCUCACAGAAUAUUUCAACAUGUGUAUAUAUAUAUAUGGAGUUUCCAUAUAAGGAAUAUCAACUUUAUAAUAUUUAUACAACCAAACUCGUCUACCGGAGAAUAAACUCCAGUGUUUUCUAUAAAGUCCCCAAGACAGGUGAAAAAACACAUUUCAGAUUGUAAUAAUGCCUAAUUGCUAGCUCGAAAUUUUAUAGCACAACCCCACAUCCCAAUUGAAAUCUUCUCCCCCUGUUUUUUUUUUUUUUUGUACAUUACUCUGUAGAACCCCAGUUUGUUGUUUAAAUAGACAACGUUAAAAGUGCUUUUUCACAAACAUGGUUCUGUUAGUCCUCUUCCGUCCAAGUGAUCCUCAUGCUGGUUAAACUAAUCUCUUCUAAGAACAUGUACACAUGGGUAAAAUGCCUCUACUGUAAUAUCCUCACGCAUGUUGCAUUUUACACAAGAGGUCCUUCUAUAAAUUGCGUAAUUCCACAAUAUAAUGCUGCAUUGUUAGUAAAAUCUAGACUUGAGAGUGGUGCAACAGUGCUUUAUGUUUUUUAUUUAAUGUUUUCUCUCUUAUUAUAUAGACCAGUGUUUAUUAGAUAUUAACAUUGGCUUGUUGACCCACUCUAAAAAAUGCAAAUUUAUCCAUUGCAGUGAGGCUAACAGUACUGCUGCAGUAAAUGUUUUAUUGUAUGGGGUUGCCCAGUACCCGAUAAAGAUUAUGUGGUUGUUGCAACCAGUGUUAACCUAUUGAAAAUAGAAUGUGGAUCCACUUUGGAUUCCGACCAAGGGAUACCACUGGUAUAGAAAGGAAUACUUAAUGUAUCCAUUUGUGGUGAUGCAGUUUUUUUAGCAAACUAAUCAGGGCUACUUUCUUCUACCAAUCAAAGCAGGCAGUUAUCAAAUGAUUAACUCUUAUCAAAGAGCACCAGAUUAAACUUUUUUUUUUCUGAGAUAUUAUCAAGGAAAAGAGCAAAUAGGAUACAGCACCUUAGUUAUUGUUAUCUCUGAUGUAAAUGGUGUUCUUUUAAGUUAAAGUUCAACUUUCAAUGAUAAUCCACAAUAUCUAAAAUGAUACACGUUCGUUGUUCCCAGAGAUGUUACUGGUUGGUGCAAACUUUGAACAUGCCUGAGUCCCGGAGGUUCUUGGCCAUUGGUCCCAUGUUUUCCUUAUGAUUUAGCGUUGUGGAGCAGGAGAAUGGAGAGAGGUUCCUUCCUCUCUGGCAUUCACUAGUCCAGACAGAAGAUGCUCUGCUAUGACAUAAUCCCCUCCGCCUUAGUCUCUACCAGCUAAUAGCUGUUAAAGAAUGCAGAUACUGAUCUCUACCACAUGGAGCACAGACCGUGUAGAUUCCAAAAGUUAUGUACAGUAAGUAGGAUUGGGGUAUUUCUAGUCAAACUGCAGUGAGGUUCUCAAAAUAUGUUUGCUCUGCUACCUUUUAAUCUCAUAAUAUCACUGUGUACUUAUGUCGCAGAAAGACAAAAAAUAGAGGUUCUGCGCAUCAAGUAGGUAGUGCACACCCAGGUGCUACUGCAGUUUAUUAGGGGACACAAUAUAAACAAACGUUUCGGGUAACAAGCCCUUCCUGGGGACAUUAGCACUGAGGAAGGACUUGUUGCCCGAAACGUUUGUUUAUAUUGUGUCAUCUAAUAAACUGCAGUAGCACCAGGGUGUGCACUACCUACUUGAUGCGCAGAACUCCAUUUUUGUCUAUCUGCUUGUUACACUGUUGGAACUACAGUAAGGAGACCCUGCAGCUCGGAUUUAACUGUUCAUUUCUGUGUUCUUUAUCUUUGAUAAUCGGUGGGCAUCAUUGAUGCCUCUGUCUCAUCCUAUGCAUAGUGUACUUAUGGCGCAUUUGAAUUAGAACAUACAAAAUGUAUAUUCAGCUAUGCAGACCAUAGAAUAAUCUUUGUUUUCCCAAUGUCUUCAAUAACGAUGUAAGUAAUUAUAAAAAUAUGUAUUGUAAGUGGAAAUACACAAAUAAAAAACAGAAAAAAACUUAAACGGACUGUCUAAGCAUCAAAACCACAUCACCCUAAUGCAGUGAUUUUGGGGCAUAGAUGCUGCCUCUGCAGCAUUGCAAAUGAAAACACUGUUAAAGGGAAUCUAUAUAUCUAUAUUGUUAGCGUUACACAAAUCUUUACUCCCCACUCCCCCUCCGGAGCUAAAAUGAUAAAAAAAAUCCUUUUGUUACUUACUUGAUUUUAGCGAUGUUGUUUGUGGUGCUAGGUCAGCGCUCCGUUUCCUCCAAGUGCCACGAGGACAUUAGACCCUCCCCAUGGGGAUUUUACUAAUGCUGGACGUCCAACAUCAGUUAGGUGACCGAGAGUCAAUUAGCAACCUGGAAGCACCUCUAGUGCUUGUUUUUAGUAUGGCUUUUACUGUAGGAAAGCAUUGAAUCAAUUCUGUCCUUUGGUGAUUUUCAAGAUGCUGGAUGUCCUCAUUUAAAGCGUGAGGACAGCCAGUGUCAUUUUUUUGAGUUCAAUUCCAUGUGAAUCAAGUAAGCGCCUCUAAUGGCUGUCUGGUAGACAGCUACUAGAGACAGUCUUGAAACUGCAGUGUUAACAUUGCAGUUUCUCAAAAAUUGCAAUGAUUUACAUUGCAGGACUAAGUGGGACUGGGACACUGAACACCCAGACCACUUCAAUGAGCUAAAGUGGUCUGGGUGACUAUCGUGUCCCUUUAAAAUGUAGACAGCCACUGGGGGUGGGUUCCAGACUUAACUAGGUGAUUUGUUUUAUUUUAUAUGAUGUCUGGAAGUGUGCCUUUAAAAGUGGAAGUUUUUAUUUUCUACAAUUCUUUUUUUUUAUAUAUUAGUAGAAAUAGUUAAAUGUAUCACUGUCUUUUGUUUGCAAUUUGAGAUUUAUUGGAUUUCAUUCACAAUUUCUUACUGCAAGGCCAUAAAUUAUACAAGUUAUACUUGCUCCAACAAGUGAAAUGUUUUGCUAAUUGUUAAAAAUGUACAAAUUAUGAUAUCAUUUUGAUUGAAUUUUGCAUUUACUAUUUCAAUAUGCAGUUAGCAGUCCAUUUAUUAAUAUAAUAUUUGGUUUUAAAGUAGUAAAGCAGUUGUUUUUUUUGUAGGAAACAUGAUCAUUUUUUUUAAAAUAAAGGGGGACAUUCACUGGUGAAACGCAAGUGGUGCAGUGGAUAACAAUGGGUCUUUCAAUGUCAGUUCCUUACUUAUAGAGCCCUGCAUUCUCUGGUUUCAGAGGCUGCUGCAGGGACUCUGCAACUUGAAGUUUGGCACAGUAUAUAUUUACAGCGCUUUGAAAGUUUUGGUAUCUGAAAGACACGAGGGCUGCUUUUAGCAACAGUUAACACAUACAUCCAGAAAAACAGCUGCAGCAUUGCUUGAAACAUUGGUUUUGUCUUCUCUGGAAUCAUGUUAAGGUCAACAUUGCUUGAUAGAAAACAACCCUUUCAAAACAAAUAUUUAAAAUAAGUAAGGUCAAAUAAUUUUUUAAUCAUGGUAGCGCUCCCUGUUUGCCAUUUUGUGUGUUUAUUACAUUAUUUGGGAACUUCAAAAGAUGUGUGACAAAGAGUCCCUAGGACUUUUGUGACCUCUUCGAAUUUUGGAUUGUGUCCAGAUUCCCAAGCUUACUUAGUCCACAUGGAUGUGUCUCCAAUUUGCCUAGGAGACUAUGUACUAGAACUUUUUAGGUUCAAGGUGCCCUUAAUAUAUCAAUAUUUUUCCAAGGCACCCCAAGUCAAAAAAUGUUCUAGGUUGUAUAUAUGUACAGCGCUGCGGCAUAUACUGGGCCCCUAAUCUUGGGAGUGGCACUGCUGUAUUAUUUAAAGAAACAAACCAGGCACAAUAAACACUACAUUAUGUUGUAGUGGUUAUGGUGCCAGUAGUGCCCUCCCAGGGUAAGUAGUCAAACUGUUUAAGAACCGUUUGACAACUUACCUGGGGUCUGCCGGGAUAGGGGCUGUAGUGUGUGUGUGGCGGGGGGGGGUGCAAUAUGUGUGUGUGAGGGGUGAAAUAUUGGUGCGUGAGUGGUGGAGUAUGUGUGAGGGUUGCAGUGUGCAUGUGUGUGAGGGGUGCGUGUGCGUGCACAGGGGUGCAGUGUGCCUGUGUGUGUAAGGGACGCAGUGUGUGUACAGGGGUGCAUUGUGUUUGUGAAGGAUGUAGUUUGUGUGUGUAUGUGGGGCAGUUUGUGCAAGAGGGGUACAGUGUGUGUGUGAGGGGUACAGUGUGUGGGGGGCAGGUUGUGUGAGGGGUACGGUGUGUGUGUACAGGUGGGGCAGUGUGUGUGUAUGGGGGUAAUUGUGUAUUUGGGGGGUAAUUGUGUGCAUGGGGGGUUAAUUGUGUGCAUUGGGGGUUAAUUGUGUGUAUGGGGGGUUAGUGUAGGUGUAUGGGGGGCAGUGUGUGUGUAUGAGGGGGUAAUUGUGUGUAUGCGGGGUAGUGUGUGUGUAUGGGGAAGCUAUUGUGGGGUCUGUGGGGGUAGGACGUCAAAUUAAUAAAGUUAUACUUUCACUUUUUUUUUUAAAUAAAAAUGAUAUCCCCCCCCCCUCCCUGCUUACCUUUGCCUGGGAUGGGGGACAUUUCCUGUAAUCCGUGGUGGUCCUGGUGGUGACAGUGAACUCUAGAAGCCUCAGGAGCUGCUAGAGUUAAAACUUGCGAGAUUGUAACUGUGGUAACCGCUGCAACGCUCUGAGCUCGCGAGAGGAGAACCUGGCGGAGCUGCAAGUUAGAGCUCCCCCGGGUCCUCUCUCCCUCCCCUGCUGGCUGUCAGCAAAGUGCUAGCGGGCCGGUGAGGGAGAUCUCUGAUAAUAGCACCGAGAAAAUAUCUUUCGGCUAGGGCGCAACGGCACACAGUUUGGGAACUGCUCUAAUAGAAGUUUAUUAUUUUUAUAGAGUGGUGUUUCCCAACCACAUCCUCAAGGAUUUCAAACAGUUGGGGAUUUCGGGAUUUCCCUGUUCUGUUCCAGAUCUGAUACAGAUCUGUUUUUAUAUGUCAGUUAUAUACUGAUAUUUGAGAAUUCCGUACAUAUAUGUAUAUGUGUACAUACCUGCUUGUAACAUGCCUCCCAACAUCAGCACACUGUAAAUCAGGACAAUGGUGGACACUGGCGGGAGAGGAAAAGGGGAGGCAGAUCAGUGAUGUGGUUGCAUGACUAGCGCUACACACUUUUAGGGACAUCUGGGAUCAAAGUUGGGACAGGACCUAAAAAUCGUGAUUGUCCUGCUGAAAGUUGGAUAAUUUGAGGCCUGUUGCAAUGUGUUUAAAUCUUUGGCAACAGUGAGUGUAUGCAGAUGUGUACAAGCAUGCAGGGCUAAAGGAUCACUAUAGGCACCCAGACCAUUUUAUCUUGAUGACGUGGUCAGGAGGCAUUGGCCCUUUAGUUUCAAUCCUGCAAUCUAAAACAUUGACAGUGUUUUUAAAUACACCUUUAGUGACCGUGGUGCUAACUGUUAGGAGAGGGUACUUCCGUGGCAAUGACCCAGUUUGAUUCAGAUAUCUGACGUUCGACGUUGAACGUCAUCAAAUGCUGAUCAUAAUGAUAUAUUGGAUACACUGCUUCCCUAUGAGAAGCAUUGAUUGGGCCAUGUGCUUCUCGUCCCCAAAACUUCUGCUAGUGCUGCCAAGGACAAAUAGUCAGAAAAGCAUUUAUCAAUAGGUGUUAGCUAUCAAAUGUAAUAAGUAAAUUUAAUGAUUGCUAUGGGCCCGCUAAAUCGGAUUGAGUUGCUAAAACCUAUAUAUAUCUAAUGUAAUUGGAUUUGUAAUUUUAACAGGAAUAACAUUGGUCCUGACUGUGAAGUUCCAGUAGCCAAUAAACUCCUGAUAAAACAUACCUGCUGGAAUGUAAUCAAGGCCAUUGUUAUAUAUAAACAGAGAAACUUUGGGGAAAAGUUCUAAAAGUGAAGCAAAUAGAAUGGACAUUCCAUAACAUUCAUUGUUAAUUGCUCCACUUACGGUGCUUUGACCCUGAAUCAUUCUUUAUGCACAGCUUGCCAUGUUUUAUUGACUAUUUAAUGUUGGUUUCAAGGCUUAUGGUUUCAUGGACUCAUGAAGUUCAUUUACAAAAUUCUUAGGUAAUUAUGUACUGCUAAACAAUGGAAAAACACAUAGUGCUGGCAUUAAGGAUGUCAAGUUAGCUUCAUUUUCUUUGAUUAAUUACUUUUUCGGUAUGGUUUUUUUUAUUUAACACAGGUUUUAGGUGUAUAGUUAUGCUUUUCAUGAAACCAUCUGUUUUUUUAAUUACUGUUUAAAGGAACACUCUGGCUUAAAUAAAUACAUGUAUUUACAGUCAGGUACAUAAAUAUUGGGACAAUAGUAAUCUUUUUGGCUCCAUACACCACCACAAUGGAUUUGAAAUGAAAUGAACAAGAUGUGCUUUAACUGCAGACUUUCAGCUUUAAUUUGAGGGUAUUUACAUCCAAAUCAGGUGAACGGUGUAGGAAUUACAACAGUUUAAAGGCUCAUUAAAGGCUCUGUAAGGGACAUUAAAAGGCUCUGUCAGGGGCAUUGAAAGACUCUGUAAGGGGAAUUUAAAUUCUCUGUUAGGGACAUUAAAAGGCUCCCUAAGGGACAUUAAAUGGCUCUAUAGGCACCCAGACCACUUCAGCUUAAUAGAGAAACUGCUAUGUUUAUAAUAGGGUUAAUCCAGCCUCUAGUGGCUGUCUCAUUGACAGCCGCUAGAGGGCUUCCGUGCUUCUCACUGUGAUUUUCACAGUGAGAAGAUGCCAGCGUCCAUAGGAAAGCAUUGUGAAUGCUUUCUUAUGGACUGGCUGAAUGCUCUUGCGCAUUCAGCCGGUGAUGGAAAAAGAGGGAGGAGAGGAGGAGAGCUCCCUGCCCAGCGCUGGUUUAACCCCUUCCUCCCCCCCCCCCCCAGAGCCCGGCGGGAGGGGGUCCCUGAGGGUGGGACCGCAAGUGCCAGAAAUGAAGAUUGUCCUGAAGCACAAUGCAUACUUUGCAAUAAAAUAUUGCCAAACAGUUCAUUACCACCUGCUAAAUGAUGUCGCCAUUUUGAGCAAAACCAUGCAGAGUACAAAAAUAAAGACAUUGACUUCUUUAAGCGAAAGCUAAAGGAGUAUCGUAAGAGUAAACAAUAUAUGAGCAAAAAAAUGUAAAAUGCCAAUGAAAAAGCCAUAGAGGCUUCUUACAGAGUGAGUUGCACUUGCAGGAGAAGCACACACAAUUGGGGAAUCACUAAUUAAACCAUGUGCAAAAGAAAUCGUAUAUAUUUUAAGUGAGAAGUUGAGUAAAAAAAUUCAAGCUGUACCCCUUCCUAACAACACAGUUUUGCACCGUAUGCAUGAUCUUGCUGAUGACAUCCAUACUGAACUAAUUUCUCGACUGCAUCAAUGUGAUGGGUACUCACUUCAAUUAGACAAGUCCACAGAUAUUGCAGGACUUUUAGUUUUGUUAGUUUUUGUUAGAUAUAAUUUUGACAAACAGAUUGAAGACGACUUGCUUUUGUGUGAAAGUUUGAAAACUCAUACCACUGGUGAAAACAUCUUUUUUUUUUUUUUUUAUAGUUCUUUAUUUUUGUGCAAUUAUUGACAAAGCAGCGUGCAGAGGUAUAGUAAAAAAUAUGUUGUGCUUUCGUCAGGCUAAGGGAGCGUUUGCAUGCUGUGCGAGGUCUGAGCCCAUGGGCCCGAGAUGUGGGUUGUGCGGUCGCUAGUGUAUGCAAGCAGGUUUAAAGCCCCUGACCAAGGGGAUUGCGGGGGGGGAGGAGUAUUAUCCGCUACUUAAUGUGGACUCAAUAUCCGCCGUCUCACCAACGUGUUCGUGUAUUAGGCCUGUACCUUACUGAGCCUAGGUAGGUAAACAUUUGGUAAACGUGUAACGAAACAAUCAAGGAAACUUUUAGUAGUGUGUGGACAAAAGUCUAGUCUGGUCUAGCUUGUCAUUUGGGGUUGUCUGUCUCCUGACGGUUCGCUACUCUGGGGACGAUUGGUGUUAUGGAGGCCGGGUCCCAUGUUGCCGCCAGUGUUCCAGAGGUGGCGGGUGUGUCCGGGGGUGAGAGUCCCAGGGUCUCCAGGAAGGUUGAUGCUUCUUUCAUGGAAGGCAAAGUGUGCACUGUCCCGCCUUGGGUCACUGCUAGAGAGCCGUUCCACCCCCAUCGAUAGGUCAGUCCUGCAGCUCGCAGCAUUGUCGUGACCGGGCUAAACGAUUUGCAGAGUAGGUGCGUGGACCGUGUCAGAUUUUGGAAGAAGGCAAGGUUCGAGUUUUCAAAGGUGAGUGGCGUUUUGCCCUUUAGCGCUGACAUUAUUUGGAAUUUGUCAGGUGGACUGGAGGUGAGAGGGGUGUGGAAGACGGUAGACACUGUCAAUUGCCACCUUCUUGGCCACUGCAUGUGGCAGGAUUGUGUCCAGCAUUCUCCUGAUGUAAUGAGGCAGUUCCUCCGUGUAAUCGUUGCGGGGAUGCCCCUAAUCUUGAUGUGGGUGCUUCUUUGGCGGUCUUCCAGUGUGGUAAGCUUAAGUGACAUAGAUUGUUGUUGUGUUUGCAGUGUUUUUAUAGUGUCCGCCAUAGUGGAGAGAUGGGAUUGUACCUUUGUUAAGGUAUUUUCGUUGGUUCUGAUUCUCUCCGAUACUGCCCGUACUUCCGUUUUGAGGAUGGCCAAGUCGGCCGCCAGCAUCUUGUGAAUUUCGGCUAGCAAGAGUUUUAGGUCCUUUUUGGUGGUUGGUGCUGAGUCAUCGGAUGGUUCUUGUGACCCAGCGGAGGAUGUUGGUGAGUGUCGCGGGCCUUCAGGUCCGUGUUGUCAUGGUGCCGCAUCCUGAUCCUUGUUGGGAAUGUCGCUUGUGGUAGAGGGCUUAGUUUGUGCCGGCCGUUGGAACAUAGCUCCUAUGUCUCUGCCUUCUGCUGGGGUGUGCGACUCUUGGGAGCGCCUGCCCAUGCCCGGCAUAAUUGUCGGCGAAGUAGACGGUGUUAGGGUAUAAGGCGUCUCAGCACUGUUUGUUGCGGUGCCUUCCAGGAGACUCUCCAGGCCUUGCAGCAUGCGUUAGGCCCCGGUUUUGUGUUUCUGUCUUGCUGAGUUUGGUGGUUGAAAGAAAGGCAUCGAUCGAUGCUACUUGCCCUUCUGGUCCUGGUCGUGCUUGUGUGGUGGCUGGAUUGGGCUCAGUUCUGCUGAUAUCUGCAGGAUUAUGUAUUUAUUUUAGUGAGCUUUGAGAAAUGGCGUCUGGUCAGGAUGCUUGGUAAGCUCCGCCCCCUGGCGGUGAGAACAUCUUUAACUGUAUCCAGAAGUUCAUGAACACACAGUAUAAAUUGGGACAAAUGUGUAGAUGUGUGCAGUGAUGGUGCCAAAACAAUGGUUGAGAAAGUGGCAGGUGCUGUGACACGAAUAAGAAAUGUAGCAAAAAAACACCAUCAGUUCUGAAUGUGUUCUUCACAGACAUGCAAAGGUAGCUAAAAAUAUUUCAAUCUCAUUUAAAAUUGUACUAGGUGAAUUUGUCCAGAUUAUUAAUUUUAUAAAAAGCCGACCAUUACAGUCACGACUAUUUAAAAUUAUAUGUGAAGAUAUGGGUAGUCACCACUCUGCUCUGCUUUUGCAUUCAGAAGUCCGUUGGCUAUCACGAGGUAAAGUCUUUGUUAGAAUGUUUGAAUUGAGUCAAGAGUUGUCUGCAUAUUUCCAGGAUUGUAAAUUUGGAUUAUCUGAUCGAUUAACAAACAUUCUGUGGUUAUCCAAAGUAGCAUAUCUUGCAGACAUAUUCACAAAAUUAAAUGACGUAUGUUUAUCACUCCAAGGAAAAAACACUAAUAUUUUUAAUGCAUGAGAUGAAAUAUUUUCACUGUCUCGUAAGUUUUGGACCUCAUCCGUUGAGCAAAAUAAUUUGAACCCUUUGCCAACUUCGCCAGGGCUACAUUUUCUCCACAUCCAAGAUGGCUGCCGCUACCUGCUCUUCCCGUAAGGUCAGAAACAGAAGAGAUCACGGGAGCGCGAUCUUAAGCCCAUCCUGCGAUCAGCCCUGCCACUCGCCCUGCCAUCAGCCAGCCACUUAGACUUAGUUCGUCCAUGAGAGAGCCUGCCCAGCUGCCAGCCAGCCCACCCAGCCCACCCAGCCGUCAGCAAGCCCGCCCAGCAGUCAGCCGUCAGCCAUUUGCUAUCUCUCGUGGUAGAGGAGUGAUAGAGAGUGGAACUGAUAGUUCAAGCUCUGUUAUUGUCAUAAAUAGAAAGCUCUGUUAGGUAGGGACAUAGAAAUCUCUGUUAGGUAGAGACAUAGAAAGCUCUGUUAGGUAGGGACAUUGAAAGACUCUGUUAGGGACAUUGAAAGACUCUGUCGGGGCAUUGCAAUUCUCUGCUAGGGACAUUAAAAGGCUCUGUAAGGGACAUUAAAAGGCUCUGUCAGGGGCAUUGAAAGACUCCGUCAGGGGCAUUGAAAUUCUCUGCUAGGGACAUUAAAAGGCUCUGUCAGGUGCAUUCAAAGACUCUGUCAGGGGCAUUGAAAUUCUCUGCUAGGGACAUUAAAAGGCUCUGUAAGGGACAUUAAAAGGCUCUGUCAGUAGCAUUGCAAUUCUCUGUUAGGGACAUUAAAAGGCUCUGUAAGGGACAUUAAAAGGCUUUCUCUGGGGCAUUGAAAGACUGUCAGGGGCAUUGAAAUUCUCUGCUAGGGAUAUUAAGAGGCUCUGUAAAGGACAUUAAAAGGCUCUGUCAAGGGCAUUGAAAGACUCUGUCAGGGGCAUUGAAAUUCUCUGCUUGGGCCAUUAAAAGGCUCUGUAAGGGACAUUAAAAGGCUCUGUCAGGGGCAUUGAAAUUCUCUGCUAGGGACAUUUAAAGGCUCUGUAAGGGACAUUAAAAGGCUCUGUCAGGGGCAUUGAAAGACUCUGUAAGGGGAAUUGAAAUUCUCUGUUAGGGACAUUAAAAGGCUCCGUAAGGGACAUUAAAAGGUUCUAUAGGCACCCAGACCACUUCAGCUUAAUGAAGUGGUCUGGGUGCCAGGUCCAGCUAGGUUUAACCCUUUUUUUAUAAACAUUGCAGUUUCAGAUAAACUGCUAUGUUUAUAAUAGGGUUAAUCCAGCCUCUAGUGGCUGUCUCAUUGACAGUCGCUAGAGGGCUUCCGUGCUUCUCACUGUGAUUUUCACAGUGAGAAGAUGCCAGCGUCCAUAGAUAAGCAUUGUGAAUACUUUCCUAUGUACUGGCUGAAUGCACGCGCGCAUUCAGCCGGUGACGGAAGGAGAGGGAGGACAGGAGGAGGAGAGCUCCCUGCCUGGCGCUGGAGAAAGAGGUAAGUUUAACCCCUUCCUCCCCCCCAGAGCCCGGCGGGAGGGGGUCCCUGAGGGUGGGACCACAAGUGCCAGAAAUGAAGAUUGUCCUGAAGCACAAUGCGUACUUUGCAAUAAAAUAUUGCCAAACAGUUCAUUACCACCUGCUAAAUGAUGUCGCCAUUUUGAGCAAAACCACACAGAGUACAAAAAUAAAGACAUUGACUUCUUUAAGCGAAAGGUAAAGGAGUAUCGUAAGAGUAAACAAUAUAUGAGCAAAAAAAUGUAAAAUGCCAAUGAAAAAGCCAUAGAGGCUUCUUACAGAGUGAGUUGCCGCAUAGCACUUGCAGGAGAAGCACAAACAAUUGGGGAAUCACUAAUGAAACCAUGUGCAAAAGAAAUCGUAUAUAUUUUAAGUGAGAAGUUGAGUAAAAAAAAUUCAAGCUGUGCCCCUUCCUAACAACACAGUUUUGCACCGUAUGCAUGAUCUUGCUGAUGACAUCCAUACUGAACUAAUUUCUCGACUGCAUCAAUGUGAUGGGUACUCACUUCAAUUAGACAAGUCCACAGAUAUUGCAGGACUUUUAGUUUUGUUAGUUUUUGUUAGAUAUAAUUUUGACAAACAGAUUGAAGACGACUUGCUUUUGUGUGAAAGUUUGAAAACUCAUACCACUGGUGAAAACAUCUUUUUUUUUUUUUUUUAUAGUUCUUUAUUUUUGUGCAAUUAUUGACAAAGCAGCGUGCAGAGGUAUAGUAAAAAAUAUGUUGUGCUUUCGUCAGGCUAAGGGAGCGUUUGCAUGCUGUGCGAGGUCUGAGCCCAUGGGCCCGAGAUGUGGGUUGUGCGGUCGCUAGUGUAUGCAAGCAGGUUUAAAGCCCCUGACCAAGGGGAUUGCGGGGGGGGAGGAGUAUUAUCCGCUACUUAAUGUGGACUCAAUAUCCGCCGUCUCACCAACGUGUUCGUGUAUUAGGCCUGUACCUUACUGAGCCUAGGUAGGUAAACAUUUGGUAAACGUGUAACGAAACAAUCAAGGAAACUUUUAGUAGUGUGUGGACAAAAGUCUAGUCUGGUCUAGCUUGUCAUUUGGGGUUGUCUGUCUCCUGACGGUUCGCUACUCUGGGGACGAUUGGUGUUAUGGAGGCCGGGUCCCAUGUUGCCGCCAGUGUUCCAGAGGUGGCGGGUGUGUCCGGGGGUGAGAGUCCCAGGGUCUCCAGGAAGGUUGAUGCUUCUUUCAUGGAAGGCAAAGUGUGCACUGUCCCGCCUUGGGUCACUGCUAGAGAGCCGUUCCACCCCCAUCGAUAGGUCAGUCCUGCAGCUCGCAGCAUUGUCGUGACCGGGCUAAACGAUUUGCAGAGUAGGUGCGUGGACCGUGUCAGAUUUUGGAAGAAGGCAAGGUUCGAGUUUUCAAAGGUGAGUGGCGUUUUGCCCUUUAGCGCUGACAUUAUUUGGAAUUUGUCAGGUGGACUGGAGGUGAGAGGGGUGUGGAAGACGGUAGACACUGUCAAUUGCCACCUUCUUGGCCACUGCAUGUGGCAGGAUUGUGUCCAGCAUUCUCCUGAUGUAAUGAGGCAGUUCCUCCGUGUAAUCGUUGCGGGGAUGCCCCUAAUCUUGAUGUGGGUGCUUCUUUGGCGGUCUUCCAGUGUGGUAAGCUUAAGUGACAUAGAUUGUUGUUGUGUUUGCAGUGUUUUUAUAGUGUCCGCCAUAGUGGAGAGAUGGGAUUGUACCUUUGUUAAGGUAUUUUCGUUGGUUCUGAUUCUCUCCGAUACUGCCCGUACUUCCGUUUUGAGGAUGGCCAAGUCGGCCGCCAGCAUCUUGUGAAUUUCGGCUAGCAAGAGUUUUAGGUCCUUUUUGGUGGUUGGUGCUGAGUCAUCGGAUGGUUCUUGUGACCCAGCGGAGGAUGUUGGUGAGUGUCGCGGGCCUUCAGGUCCGUGUUGUCAUGGUGCCGCAUCCUGAUCCUUGUUGGGAAUGUCGCUUGUGGUAGAGGGCUUAGUUUGUGCCGGCCGUUGGAACAUAGCUCCUAUGUCUCUGCCUUCUGCUGGGGUGUGCGACUCUUGGGAGCGCCUGCCCAUGCCCGGCAUAAUUGUCGGCGAAGUAGACGGUGUUAGGGUAUAAGGCGUCUCAGCACUGUUUGUUGCGGUGCCUUCCAGGAGACUCUCCAGGCCUUGCAGCAUGCGUUAGGCCCCGGUUUUGUGUUUCUGUCUUGCUGAGUUUGGUGGUUGAAAGAAAGGCAUCGAUCGAUGCUACUUGCCCUUCUGGUCCUGGUCGUGCUUGUGUGGUGGCUGGAUUGGGCUCAGUUCUGCUGAUAUCUGCAGGAUUAUGUAUUUAUUUUAGUGAGCUUUGAGAAAUGGCGUCUGGUCAGGAUGCUUGGUAAGCUCCGCCCCCUGGCGGUGAGAACAUCUUUAACUGUAUCCAGAAGUUCAUGAACACACAGUAUAAAUUGGGACAAAUGUGUAGAUGUGUGCAGUGAUGGUGCCAAAACAAUGGUUGAGAAAGUGGCAGGUGCUGUGACACGAAUAAGAAAUGUAGCAAAAAAACACCAUCAGUUCUGAAUGUGUUCUUCACAGACAUGCAAAGGUAGCUAAAAAUAUUUCAAUCUCAUUUAAAAUUGUACUAGGUGAAUUUGUCCAGAUUAUUAAUUUUAUAAAAAGCCGACCAUUACAGUCACGACUAUUUAAAAUUAUAUGUGAAGAUAUGGGUAGUCACCACUCUGCUCUGCUUUUGCAUUCAGAAGUCCGUUGGCUAUCACGAGGUAAAGUCUUUGUUAGAAUGUUUGAAUUGAGUCAAGAGUUGUCUGCAUAUUUCCAGGAUUGUAAAUUUGGAUUAUCUGAUCGAUUAACAAACAUUCUGUGGUUAUCCAAAGUAGCAUAUCUUGCAGACAUAUUCACAAAAUUAAAUGACGUAUGUUUAUCACUCCAAGGAAAAAACACUAAUAUUUUUAAUGCAUGAGAUGAAAUAUUUUCACUGUCUCGUAAGUUUUGGACCUCAUCCGUUGAGCAAAAUAAUUUGAACCCUUUGCCAACUUCGCCAGGGCUACAUUUUCUCCACAUCCAAGAUGGCUGCCGCUACCUGCUCUUCCCGUAAGGUCAGAAACAGAAGAGAUCACGGGAGCGCGAUCUUAAGCCCAUCCUGCGAUCAGCCCUGCCACUCGCCCUGCCAUCAGCCAGCCACUUAGACUUAGUUCGUCCAUGAGAGAGCCUGCCCAGCUGCCAGCCAGCCCACCCAGCCCACCCAGCCGUCAGCAAGCCCGCCCAGCAGUCAGCCGUCAGCCAUUUGCUAUCUCUCGUGGUAGAGGAGUGAUAGAGAGUGGAACUGAUAGUUCAAGCUCUGUUAUUGUCAUAAAUAGAAAGCUCUGUUAGGUAGGGACAUAGAAAUCUCUGUUAGGUAGAGACAUAGAAAGCUCUGUUAGGUAGGGACAUUGAAAGACUCUGUUAGGGACAUUGAAAGACUCUGUCGGGGCAUUGCAAUUCUCUGCUAGGGACAUUAAAAGGCUCUGUAAGGGACAUUAAAAGGCUCUGUCAGGGGCAUUGAAAGACUCCGUCAGGGGCAUUGAAAUUCUCUGCUAGGGACAUUAAAAGGCUCUGUCAGGUGCAUUCAAAGACUCUGUCAGGGGCAUUGAAAUUCUCUGCUAGGGACAUUAAAAGGCUCUGUAAGGGACAUUAAAAGGCUCUGUCAGUAGCAUUGCAAUUCUCUGUUAGGGACAUUAAAAGGCUCUGUAAGGGACAUUAAAAGGCUUUCUCUGGGGCAUUGAAAGACUGUCAGGGGCAUUGAAAUUCUCUGCUAGGGAUAUUAAGAGGCUCUGUAAAGGACAUUAAAAGGCUCUGUAAAGGGCAUUGAAAGACUCUGUCAGGGGCAUUGAAAUUCUCUGCUUGGGCCAUUAAAAGGCUCUGUAAGGGACAUUAAAAGGCUCUGUCAGGGGCAUUGAAAUUCUCUGCUAGGGACAUUUAAAGGCUCUGUAAGGGACAUUAAAAGGCUCUGUCAGGGGCAUUGAAAGACUCUGUAAGGGGAAUUGAAAUUCUCUGUUAGGGACAUUAAAAGGCUCCGUAAGGGACAUUAAAAGGUUCUAUAGGCACCCAGACCACUUCAGCUUAAUGAAGUGGUCUGGGUGCCAGGUCCAGCUAGGUUUAACCCUUUUUUUAUAAACAUUGCAGUUUCAGAUAAACUGCUAUGUUUAUAAUAGGGUUAAUCCAGCCUCUAGUGGCUGUCUCAUUGACAGUCGCUAGAGGGCUUCCGUGCUUCUCACUGUGAUUUUCACAGUGAGAAGAUGCCAGCGUCCAUAGAUAAGCAUUGUGAAUGCUUUCCUAUGUACUGGCUGAAUGCACGCGCGCAUUCAGCCGGUGACGGAAGGAGAGGGAGGACAGGAGGAGGAGAGCUCCCUGCCUGGCGCUGGAGAAAGAGGUAAGUUUAACCCCUUCCUCCCCCCCAGAGCCCGGCGGGAGGGGGUCCCUGAGGGUGGGACCACAAGUGCCAGAAAUGAAGAUUGUCCUGAAGCACAAUGCGUACUUUGCAAUAAAAUAUUGCCAAACAGUUCAUUACCACCUGCUAAAUGAUGUCGCCAUUUUGAGCAAAACCACACAGAGUACAAAAAUAAAGACAUUGACUUCUUUAAGCGAAAGGUAAAGGAGUAUCGUAAGAGUAAACAAUAUAUGAGCAAAAAAAUGUAAAAUGCCAAUGAAAAAGCCAUAGAGGCUUCUUACAGAGUGAGUUGCCGCAUAGCACUUGCAGGAGAAGCACAAACAAUUGGGGAAUCACUAAUGAAACCAUGUGCAAAAGAAAUCGUAUAUAUUUUAAGUGAGAAGUUGAGUAAAAAAAAUUCAAGCUGUGCCCCUUCCUAACAACACAGUUUUGCACCGUAUGCAUGAUCUUGCUGAUGACAUCCAUACUGAACUAAUUUCUCGACUGCAUCAAUGUGAUGGGUACUCACUGCAAUUAAACAAGUCCACAGAUAUUGCAGGACUUUUAGUUUUGAUGGUUUUUGUUAGAUAUAAAGACAAAGUAUCGAAAUCGACUUGACUCAACUGCAGACAUGCAAAUACAAUUGUCAACAAUUAAGCCAGAUAUAAAAUGAAUUUGCCAGAAAAGAGAACAUUACACUCAUUGAAAGGUUUACGCUGCAUAUUCUACGGCACACAUUUUUUUGUUGGGGCUCCAAAGUUUUGCUAAACCAUGUCAAAGGGUUCCACGGGAAAAAUGUAUUGGAAAACCCUGGCCUAGUGGCAAGUGGAAAUGUGGAGCCCUGCUGUGUGUGGCAUUAUAUUUGCAAAUGUAAUUAUAUUUGUAUGUUGGUUUUCCUAUGUGUGCAAUAUUAGUAUGUGUGUAUGUAUGUGUUUCUAUGUGUGAAAUGUAGGAGAAAAAUUAGGGCAUUAGCCACCAUGACUAAAGUAGUAGCAUGCAGUUCUGAAGCGCAAAUCCUAUUAUGUUCAGCCAGUCUCUAGGCCUUCCAAAUGUUUGCAAAUUGCAAUUCACAUGAAGCCCAACAAGACUUACAUGUUGGCUGAGCAUUAAGAUUAUUGCGUAACUUGCAAUGGUGCCAUUGCCGCAGGAUGUCCAGUAGCUAUAGGGUGGAGGGGAAAGUGGGUUAAAUUUACCCAAAUCUGUCCAAUGUGGACACCACCGUUCUAUUCUGCCUGGUUUUCUUCACCUCCUGCCACUAAAGCUGAUUUCAGUGAUGUAUCCUUGCACAUCAUAAGAUAUGACAAAGCUGGACUGCACUUUUAUGUCAAGAGGAGGAAAAAUACUAAGACAAGUAGUUCCUACUUUAUCUUAGUAUAUUUUUUGACUAAAGAUUUUGUCUUUAUGAAAUACUCGUUUUGGAUGGGGGUGUCAGAGCUGCUUUAACAUACCUUAGUCUAUCUCCUCAAUUCUCUCCCAACCCGCCAGCUAUUUCCCCAAAGUCCACCCUGGUCGAUUUAAUAUUGUUCGGUAAUCUUUACAAAUAAUUCAAUAUUUUUGGAUACAUUUUAAAAGCGAUUUAAUAUCAUGAAAAAUAUUAACUUUUUUAUAUAUUGAUCUAUUUUUUUAUAUAUGCUAUGUUUUUUGAUAUUUUAAUAUGUUGGAAAAUAAUUGUAAAAGUAUAUCUACAAAUAUUAAAUUGUGUGUGUGCACAUACGCCCCUCCCAAUAUUACUUGAGGCCUCAGUGGGUGCCUCGGAGGGAUGAUAUGUUAACAUUAUACAAAAACAGAUGUGAGAAAGGCUGAACUUGAUGGAUGCAUGUCUCUUUUCAGCCUAUGUAACUAUGUAAAUUUGGUAAGCUUAACCCACAAUAUUCAAUCAAGACCUUUGUAAACUAAGUGACUGAUAACAUUGUUGUCAAAGGAGACAAUUGGGAUAUGAUAUAGUAAUUUAAAAAAAAAAACACUACCUGAUUUACCAUACUGGACCCAGUUAUGUGGUGUAUUAGGGCGUGAGAUGGAAGGCACAGAGCUGCACAAGGUGCCCAUCACUUAGCUAUGUUACAACAACUCUUCUAGGUAGUCAGAGGAGUGGAGGUGGUCAACCGGCCAGACCUCUGAACUCCACAACUGACCUAUCGCUUACAGUGUAGUGGAACCUCUGAUUAAUGAUAUCAAACGUGAUUGAGCAUUGUAUAAGUACCCACGAAGAAAUAUCUUUAUCAUUCAGAACACAGCCUUUCUUUUUUUUCUCACUAAUUCUUUUUUUUUGUUAGACCAGGCACUAUAGCAGUACCAUAUAGGAGAAGUCUGAAAUACAUUAAUAUUUUGCAUAUAUCUAAUUUUCCUAUACAAGUGAACAGAACAGAACAAUACAGAAAUUAAAGAAAAGAGAGAGGAGAAUAAGUUCUGCUAUGAUAUAUACAAUAAACCUAAAUGUAAAUGACAUUCAAUUAGCUAAAGAUGUAUUUAAGCCAUGGGUUCCUAGUUUAAUAAAAUAUUAGUAUUAGCUUUUGUAUAGCGCCAACAUAUUACACAGUACUUGACCAUUAUAGAAAGGGGAUAUGAAGAAGGUCCAGUUUACAAUAUAAAAUAAAAGGUAGACGAUAUAUAUUGUUAGGUAUUCAUUCAACAAGCAGCAAUUAAAUUUUUUUUAUAAUCCCAUUCUUCCCAGUGUCUCUCUUACAUAUCUAGUUUCUCUCAUUGGUGUAGCCGGAGGUGUGUUUGAGCAUCUUCUCCAAUCACCUCCCUCUUUUUCUUCUCUCUGUUUUUGCUCUCCAUCAUAAUUUAUCUGGCAAUCCAAAAGCAGAGCAUCAAUUUCAGUAUGCAUUCCACCUUAGUAUGUAGUUCUGUUUUUUUCUUGCAUGUCAAGGAUAUUCAUCUGCUCCUUAUUAGGUCUUACAAUUUGGUAGAUCCAACCUCAGAUGGACAGCACGUGACAAACUACACCAUGUUGUGAUUUAUUUAACAAAAAUAAAGCCUUGUGUGAAAAAAUGAAGUACACCUUACGAUUCAAUAGGUUGUAAAACCACCUAUCGCAGUGCUAACUUGAAGUAGAUUAAACUCUGCGCUGCGCCAAUCCACAUCUCCUCAUAUAGAUGCAUUGAAUCAAUGCAUCUCUAUAGGGAACAUUCAGAGCUUCCAUGCAGAGCGUGGAGAUGUGGAAUGUUGGUGCACACUGUGCAGCACUGGACUAGGAAGCACGUCUAGCGGCUGUUUACGUUACUGUCAUUAGAGGUGUUUUUAGGCAGCAAUGUAAACACUGUCUUUUCUCUUAAACACCACUGUGAACGGUGGUACUCUAGUUGCUCAUUACUAGCUUUGUGCAUAUAUGAGGAUAUGUCGUGUUAAAAGACAACUGUCACCAAACUUUCAUUUCUCCUUUUAUUACAUGCAGUUAAAUUAAAUGAUAUUUUUCUUAAAGGGAUACUAUAGUCACCAGAACAACAGCAGCGUAAUGUAGUUGUUCUGGUGAGUAUAGUAUGUCCCUGCAGACAUUUUUAUUUAAACACUGCCUUUUCAGAUAAAAGCUGUGUUUAUAUUGCUGCCAAGGGACACCUCCAGUGGCUGUCAUUCAGAUGGCCAAUAGAAUUGCUUCCUGGGUCAGUGCUGCACAAUGUGCUGCAUUGCCCCAGGUAGCACCUAUGUGGGAAGCACCCAUGGGAAAGCAGUGGAUUGGCUGAGAUUAUCAACUCUUAUGAUCUUGGCCAAGGAGGUGGAUCGGGGGCAGUGUUUUUUUUACCCUAUUUAAGUAAGGCAUGGGGGGGGGGCUGUAACCUAAAUAUUAUUUUUAGCACCAUAGGGUCAGGAAUACACAUUUGUAUUUCUGACUCUAUAGUGUUCCUUUAAAUUAUGUAUUUUGAUAUUUUGGAUAACAUUUUUAUUUGGCUGGGCAGCCAUUUUGGGUCAGACUCUGUUAUCUGACCAACUGUAGUUCAAUCUAAAUGACUGCCACUGUGAUUGCUCUGUGUGAAACUGCUACAACCGGAAAGUUAGGAUGAGCAGCAGGUGGUCAGAUAAUAGUAGAAUCUCACCCAACAUGACUGCUCAGAGAGAUACAUCAUUUAAAAAAUAUAAUAAUUAUUAUAUAUAUAUAUAUGUAUAUAUUAGUAAGUUUCCGUACAUGUAAUAAAGUUUUAAAAAGUGAAAUUUUGAUGACAGUUGUCUGUCCUUUAAUACUAUGUUCCUGUUGUGAACUUCACAAUGUUCUGAAAUGAUCAGUCAGUAUUCUCAUUGGUCAGUAUUAGUCAGUAUUCUCUUACUCCACAUUCAAAUGUGUGUUAUUUAGUCUUGAAUCUCUGUCUUAGCUCCCAAAAAUAGGUUUGCAUUUACUAUUUGCUUUGACAGAGUUCUUUCCUUAGUUGAUGGAAAAUGUAAAUGGUUAAUAAAGCUGAGUGUAGAUUUGCCUUAUAUGUGAACGGUGCUUUGAGUAUGUAACUCAAGCCAAAGGUCUACAUGUGCUUAGCAUGCUCUUCAGGUGAUUGAUUGAUUGAUUGAUAGAUUUAAAAGUCAAAAGGCCAAAUAAUAUAACUUUGCUUCUUCUCAAUAAACUCUGUGUAAGAUGAGCAAGGCAAUAUCAAGUCGGAGUUGAAAGAGACAACUAUACAGUAAUGUACUUUACUUAAAUAUAACUGGAGAGUUAUAACCACUGGUAAUGUCACAUACAGAGGGAGCAUCAAAUGAUUGUUAAUUAGAGAUUAUAAAAGUGUUUGUAUUAAUUCUGAAUUGUUGAGCUGGCUAAUGGCUAAACAAAAAAAAAACAUCACACCUGUAAUAAGACUAUUUGUGUAAUUUUCUGUUGGAAUUAGUUUUGAAAAUGCGAAUUUUUAGCGUCUUUUAUAGUUGAAUAUUUUUUAUAUAUAUCCAUAUCCAUUGGCCUGUAUUUGUGGGAGGGGCUUAAGUUAACUUACUCCCCUAUAUAAACUACACCUCUUACCUGACUCCUUACCGAUCAAGGUCAGCAUCUGAAUGCCCCUCCCACCCACUCCUCAUACUUACACAAUCUAUAUCACAUUUCUUAUUUUAAUUCUUACUCCUUGGUGGGCCCUCUUUAUUUACAGGCCUACCGUAUCGUCGGUAUCGGCACACCACAACCGACUUGCUCUUUUAUAAUAUUCCAGUUCCUACUGGAACCUCACUCCUUAUACUAUUACUUAGCACCUUACACAAAUAUAUAUAUAUAUCCAUAUCCAUUGUAUAUCACAAUGUGAAUCAUAUUUAGGAUACCAUAAAUUGCAACAAAUAAUGUAUUUACAUCCACAUAUUUAUAUAAUGAAUGAGUGUAUGCGUAUACUACAUUAAGUAGUCCUAAUGGCUAGUAAUGGUUACUUGGUAAUAUGUGCAUUUGUUCUGGUUCCCUUUUGAGCUUCCGAGGUCACAUUUUAUAAUGGAGAAAUUCUGGCGGCAGACUUGGUAGGCCAUGAAGUAGCAAAUUGCUUGUUACUAACAUGAAAAAAUGUCGUGCAAAUGUGAAGUGUUGCUGUUGGUGGUCAAAUGUUUCAUUUUUGUCACACUGCUUACCUUUCUUAGGAUGAAAUUUUUUUUAAUUGAAGUUCCUGGUAAUAUUUAGAGGAGUCACAUUAGCAGAUACAAGAAAUAUACAGCUUGUUGUUUCAACAUUUUUACUCCCAAUGCUGCUUGUUUUCUUUCAGUAUUCCACCUCUGUUGACCCACUGUCCAAAGAGCAGAGGACAAGCAAGAAGACAUAUAUGGAAAGAUCUGUGUACUUUGUCAAAGUGGACUGUCUGAAAGAAGAUUUAGGGUUUUGCAGUGUUAGGGGUUUUGUUACCAAGUUCUAGAGGAGACGUUUACUGGAACUGCAACACAGUGCUCUGCAGAUUCUACCAAGCCACUGCACAUGUUUGUGUCUAAAAUGCUUGUGUCUUAUUUUUAUUACGAGGACAUGACUUGCUAAACAAAAUAAUGCCUACAUAUUUUAAAAGGUGCAAAUGUGGAUAAUGUAUCACACAAUAUGAUCAAUAUAUCAGCAUGUUGGGUAUAUCUGCAAAAUAGUCAUUUCGGACUCUCAUGGAAGAAGCUAUUUCUUUGGGGAAGUCACAAAUGGAAUUCUGACCCAUGGAAUUGUCAAAAAACAGUUUUCUUAUUGACACCUGGAAGUGGUAGCAUCAGUCCUGAUGUUGGAUUAAAUAAUUGAUCAUUGUAUGUUGUUGCGUUUACCUGCCUUUAAUCAGUAAAACAGAUGUAAACUAUUUAACAGGAGUCUGCUCUCUCCCUGCUUUGUAUUCAGAAGAAUGGAUCUAACUGUGCUGUUCUCUGCUGUCACACUGAUAGUCAUCGAAUAGAACCAACACAAAUAUAAUUUUAUACAUACAUAUAUGCACAUAGGCAGACAUACACACACAUAUGCCUAACAAAGGACACGCUAAUAAUGCAUUUUGUCUGGUCUCAGAAAUUCCAUUUUGACUUGUUUAAAUUGGUCCGAAUGGCCAUGAAUACAUAGUGGUUACUGCCAACAAGAUCACUCUCCCAGUAAAACUUUGGCCCUACUUCAUACUGCAGAACAUUUCAAAAAGACAAAGAUUGACACUUUAUUUUUAGGGGUGUGAGUUUGGUGUGUGGCCACGGCCUGGGCUGCUUAGAUAUAUUUUAGGUGACUUACUAAUAACAAAUAGGAAACUAAAAUAUCACUUAGAACAAGAAAAAAAAAAUAUCUUAUCUACACAGCCUUAUUUCUAAACACAUGUAUUGUAGUUUAAAGACACUUUACUGCGAGCUCUAUUAUACACUCAGACAGGGGCGGACUGAGAACCCUCAGGGCCCUCGGGCAAAAUAAAUCAAGGGCCCCCUUACAGGCCCCACCCAUACUCUGCAGCAAGCGCCACCCUUGUCCCGCCUCCAUGCACCGCCUCCAGCCACACCCUACACAAUCUUUAGACACAAGGAACAAAAGGGCAAUAAGCCCUUCGAGGCCCCAGUAGAGACUACAAUUGAGGGCUAAUGGGCCAUGGAGGGGGGUCUUUCUAGCGGAGGCUAUCUCAGUGUCCUUUAGAGAGUGUGUUAGAAAGAAUCCCCUCCAAGCCCCAUUAGAGACUACAAUGGAGUCUAAAAGGCUUGGAAGGGGGUCUUUCUAACAGAGGCCAUCUCAGCGUCCAUUAGAUAUCCCCUGCUGGAAACAGUCGCCUCCAGGCCCCAGUAGAAACUACAAUUGAGGGCUAAUGGGCCAUGGAGGGGAUUUCUAGCAGAGGCUAGAGUCUAAUGGGGCCUGGAGGGUGGUCUCUCCAGCUCUCUUCCUAUUCACAAUAUAGCAACACAACAUAGCUCGCUGAUACCUAAGCCAAGUUGGCUCCUCUUACCUUAAUUACUGUUGCUGGCUGGCAGUCUGUGGGCUUGCUGGCUGCGGCUGGCAGGCUGUGGGCUUGCUGGCUACUGCCGGCAGGCUGUGGGCUUGCUGACUGCUGGCAGGCUGGCAGGCUGUGGCUUGCUGGCUGUAAGCCUGUGGCUUGCUGGCUGUAAGCCUGUGGCUUGCUGUAGGCCUGUGGGCUGGCUACUGGCCUGUGGGCUGGCUAACUGGCUGGCUACUGGCCAGCCUGUGGGCUGGCUAACUGGCUGGCUACUGGCCAGCCUGUGGGUUGGCUGGCUGGCUGGCUGGCUACUGGGGCACUUGUAGAUUAUUUAAAGAAAUAAUCCAUGCACAAUAACCACUACUGCUCCAGAGUAAGUAGUCAAACCGUUUAAGAACAGUUUGACAACUUACCUGGGGUCUGCUGGGAUAUGAGGCUGUAGUAGGGAAUAGGAGCAGUGGUGCAAUGUGUGUGAAAGGUUCAGUGUGUGUGUGGGGGUGUAGUGUGUGAAUGUGUAGGGUGUGUGGGCAGUGUAUGUGUGUGGCAAUGUUAGUAUGGGGGGCUGUGUAUGGGGGUCUGUGUGUAUAUGGGUGGGCAGUGUAUGUGUGUGUGUGAGGCAAUGUGUGUAAAUGUGUAUGGUGUGUAUGGGGGCAGUGUGUGAAUGUGUAUGGUGUGUGUGUGGGGGCAGUGUGUUUAUGGGGCUAGAGUUCACUCUCACCACUGCGACCACCAGGAAUCCAUGGGGGUUACAGUGUUGAGAGUGAACUCUAGCCCGUAGCUCCAGGGCUAGAGUUGACUCUCGCAAGAGCAGUAACGUUGCCAUGGUAACCGCGGCAACGCUCUGUGCUCGCGCAAGAAGGACCCAGAGGAGCUGCAGGGUGAGCUCCCAGGUCCUCUCUUCCUCCCCUGCCCGCACGGUGCCUGCGGACAGGGGAGGGGGGGCAUUCUUCCCUCUCUUUCUCCCCCCUCCCCCAACUCUCUAUUCCCCCUCUUUCUCCCCGUGUCUCAUUCUUCCCUCUCUGUCUCUUUCUCCCCCUCCCCAUCUCUCUAUUCCCCCUCUUUCUCCCCGUGUCUCAUUCUUCCCUCUCUGUCUCCCCCCUCCCCAUCUCUCUAUUCCCCCGUGUCUCAUUCUUCCCUCUCUGUCUCUUUCUCCCCCUCCCCAUCUCUCUAUUCCCCCUCUUUCCCCCUGUGUCUCAUUCUUCCCUCUCUGUCUCUGUCUCCCCCUGUGUCUCUUUCUCCCCAUCUCUUUAUUGCCCCCCCUCCCCAUCUCUGUUCCCCCCCUCUUUCUCCCCCCUCCCCAUCUCUCUGUUCCCUCUUUCUCCCUCUGCCCAUCUCUCCCCUCUCUCUCCAUCUCUGUUCCCCUCUUUUCUCCCCUACUCCAUCUCUGUUCUCUUUCUCCCUCUCUCCCUAUCUCUCCCCUCUCUCUUAUCUCUCUCUGUUCUCUUUCUCCCUCCCCCAUCUCUCUCCCUCUCCAUCUCUGUUCCCCUCUUUUCUCCUCCCCAUCUUCCCUCUCCAUCUCUGUUCUCUCUUUCUCCCUCCCAUCUCUCCAUCUCUGUUCUCCCUCCCCCCAUCUCUCCCCUCUCCAUCUCUCUGUUCACAAUUUCUUUUCUCCCCCAUUCUCCCUCUUUCUCCCUCUCUAUCUUCCCCAUCUUUCUCCCCACUUCUCCCUCCCUAUCUCCUCUAUCUUUCUCUACUCUCUCUCCCCUCCCCAUCUCUUACCUCUGGCUGUGCCAGCGCAUGCUGGCUGCCGAAUGCUCGCCGGCGGCAUUCCUCUCACUAACACAGAAGAAGAAGAGGGAGGAGGAGCAUGUGUCUAUCAUGCUCCUUUGCGGUUCCCACAUCCUGUGCUGGGAAUUGUGGGAACCGCAGGGAGCAUGAUAGACACAUGCUCCUCCUCCUCCUUCUUCAGCGUUAGUGAGCGGAAUGCCGCCGGACCGGCGAGGCUGCUACCCGGUCCGGCGGCUGCAGCAUCAAACGGCCGCCCCCCCCUCACAGUGUGCCACUGGACCGGCCACCCGGUGGCACCUGCAGUCCCCAAAUGCCGCCCCCAAUCCAGCCCUGCCGCCGGGCCCCCUGAAGGCAGCCCUGGCGGCGGGCCCCCCUCCCGGCCGGGCCCUCGGACCGUGUCUGAAGUGCCCGACCAGUCAGUCCGCCCCUGCACUCAGACACGCCAACAAUAUAGAGCUCCUAGAAAAGAGGGACAUCAUAUUAGAAAAGAGGAAUUUAGGCCCAAAAUAGUGACUAUCCCUCCUAAAUAGGUACACUUGGGAGGUAUGCUACUUAUUCCUAUCUAUAGCUAAAAACAAAAAAAAAACUAAGAGAAAUAGAGGGACAGAAAACUAUUAAUUUAAAAACAGAACCUUCAAAGUGACAGGGUAGCUUUAAAAACACCUUACAAUCAUAGUUUAAUAUUUAUUUACUUCAGAAAGAUCAAUGAUAACAUACACCAUACUCUCCAGUUAAGUGCUUUUAUUGACGUAACCUACCUGUGUUUUUUUUUUUAUAAAUUUGGAGUUUUCAGCCACUUCCAUCAUGGUAAUCCCUAGUAUGGGCUAAGUUUGUCAGAGAAAAGCAAUAAGAUGGAUAUUCUUGAGAUAAAUAUAUGAAGGACAGGUCUGUUCCACUUACACAGUAAUUUAUGUGAAGUCUGCUCAGUGAAUAUUGCCUUGGAAUGUUUCCCAGAUAUGGUUAACUUGAGAGAAACUUUUUCGCAGUUCAGGUUUGAUUACCUCAGGUAAUUAGAGACAAUUGAGACUCUUAGUACAGCUUGAGAACAUUUAAAUAUGGUUUUUGAAACGUGUUUUUUAUGUUCUCCCAAAUUCGAGUUAUCCUAAAAAUCCAUAGUUUUAAAUGGGAUAAAACUGGGUUCUUAAUGAAUUACCUCAUCCCUGUUUUACAGUUCCCCCAUGAUGGUCAGUAUUCUACAACUCCGCAAGCCGCUGCUCUACACUAUGCCCAUUCCUACAUUUGGUCAUUUCCUCCCAAUCUGUGUUCUCACGCCUUUCCAAUGUUCACUCUAAGUGCAGCUCUCCUCAACUCAUUGUUUAAUACAUCCCCACUUCCCAAAUUCAAUCAGUUUCCUUUGUCCCUUCAUGCAUAUGAUGUUUUCAUACUUUGUGUGUGUAUUCUCUCUUUCCCACACAUCUUUUUACGUGCUUUCCUGGAUAGACAGACAAAAUAUGGCAAGGUCUUUUUGAGAUUUCAGUAUUUACAUUAUUUCAUGAUUUUAGUAGAUUUUAGUGUUUACAUUAUUUGGUUAUUGUAUCUAAUGGAUUAUUGAUGUGGUCUUACUGGUGAUUUUAUUCCUUUGCCUUUAGCUUUUCUCUUUCUGUAGCUCUUUGUGUCACACAACCCCCAUUCCCAGCUUUGCAUGCGUACAUAACUUCUCCUACUCAACGUAUUGGCUAUUUCAACACCUUUGUGAUAGAUGAUGUACCAGGAAUAUCCAAUUAUAAUUGAAUUUGCCUCACCCCUUUUACAACCUUCCUGUUCACUGUACAUAUAUCAGGGUUCUGAUGAAUCCUCAACCUUCUAAUCCAUAGCUUAGUCAUAGGGUCAGUUUAUGGCUUUUACAUUGUCUUUCUCUGUAUCAUGCUAAAACACAAAUAAAGUUCAUUGUGAUUUAAAUUUUUUAAUUGGGGAUGUCUGUGAAAAAUGCUUGAUGUUCUUAAUACAGACAUUUGGCAGCCCUAAGCACAACACAAAUGUCCCAAAUUAGGAGGGACAGUCCCUAUUUUGGGUUCCAAAUCACUUUUUUUCUGUCCUAAUAUCCCUCUUUUCUAACAGCUCCAUAUUGCUGGUGUGUCUGAGUGUAUAACAGAGCUCCACAGCAAUGAUACUCACAGUAAUGUCUUUAAACUACAAUAAUUGUGUACAUAAGAUACAGUGUUCUUGUUCAAAAAUACAUUUGAGAAAUCUAUAAAAGGAGUGUCUUUAGGCGCUUCUCAUGAACUCAAUGUUAAAAAUAAUUGUUUGGGGGGCGUGGCUAACCACGGAGCAAGAUGGCAGCAUGAAAACUUGCUCCGGCAACAGGGCACCCAAUCCAGCGUAAUCCAACCGCCUAAAGCUGCAUCCAACAACAUAGACCAGCAAUGUCCCACCACAAAAGUAAAAGGAGCUCGGUAAAACCGGACAAGCUUAAUUUUUUUAGCCAGAAACAAACUCCUGCGGCCCUGGCUACGCAGGCCUCAAAAGCAGCCGAGGAUCCUGAAUCGGACGACGGCAUGCAUGAUACCGACUCGGAGGCAAAAGCUGACACAACACAGAUUACUAAAGCCGACCUCACAGCAGCUCUGGAGGUCUUAUCUGCUAAACUAAUCACCACAUGGCAACAUACAGCGGACUCCUUACGGAAGGACAUCCAGGAGCUGGGGAAAAGGAUGACGCACAUGGAGGAUAAGUGCGAUGAAUUCGCCACAGCGCACAACGAUCUGGCCACGAACGUAGAGCGCAUAGCAGCAAAAAUCACCAUUAUGGAAGAAAAAAUGGCGGACAUGGAGGACCGGUCCCGCCGGAAUAAUUUACGCUUGCGGGGAGUCCCUGAGGAUGUCACUAACGACGACCUGCCAGCUUAUGUCAGGAACCUCCUGCACGCCCAUGCACCGGAGAUACCUACAGAUAUGCUGCUGGUAGAUCGGGCUCACCGCAUUCCGAAACCCCGUCAUCUCCCACAAACAGUACCGCGGGACAUACUAUUGCGGGCGCACUAUUUCCACAUAAAGGAACAUAUCCUCCGGAGCAGCAGGCUGAGAGCUAAGCCGCCGGCCGACUACCCAACGGUCAAAAUCUAUGCGGAUCUGUCAGCCGCAACACUACGAAAAAGAAAAGACUUCCUCCAAGUUACCAGCACGUUGAGGUCCCACGGCAUAAGGUAUAGGUGGGGAUUCCCCACAAAGUUGAUCGUUACGCAAAAUGGAGACACGGUAGUGAUAAAUUCCCCUGACGACGGCCUGAAGAAACUCCAGGCCUGGAACCUGCCGGUGGAGCCGCCUAUCCUGCAAACAAGAAAGGCGGGCACCCUCAAACCGGACUGGGAAAAAGCCCACGGGAAACACUGAAACCAGACGGUAUCUGGUACGCAGGCGAAAGCCCCUUCGGAUAUACACUGCCCAUAUAAUGUCCUGGAUACGCACCUGAAGUGCCUCCUUUCAACAUGGCGACCCUGGAAUGCACAACAAAGCUGGACAAGAACUGGUAACUGAGGACCCCGAUGGAUAAGUGACUCUGGAUCGGGGCCCCCCGCUGACCCUGUGACGAAGCGUACGCAGAGCAGUGGAUUCCCGCGGGGGUCCCCGGUCUGGACUAAUACCCUGAGGUGAUGGGCCUUCCUCCCCCCUCUACCCCCCAUCUCGCCUCCACUCCCCCCCCGGGUCCGGGUGAGCAACGACCGGGGCAGCCUCCAACUCAGGUGAGGCCAGAUGGUUUACCCGGGAGAUGGGAGGCAUGACACCACAACCAGAUGGACCAUGAGACUUUGGAGAUGCUGAGACAAGCUGCAGAACUACAGCGUUAUACGCUCCUACCAACAGGUCUAAUGGGACAAUGGGACACUGGGGCCCGGGUGGGGGAUGGGGAGAUUCCGGGGAAGUUUUCUUGGCCGUUGGGGUGGGGGGGGCGGGAGACAGGCCGGGAGGCGGGACGGUUAGCAGGGUAAAAAAGUUACCGCAGGUUAUGUUUUUACUUAGAAUGCAUGAGCUAUAGUUGACUGUUAACAUACACGUACAUAGGGCCCCUUUGAGCCAACGUUAGCGUUCAUGACAGGUCUUCAGCACAUAUAGCCAGACCACCCCAACAGAUGGCACGCCAAUGUACACUCUAAUUCAGACGAGGACGUCUGGCCCCGGCCUUUCUCAACCUGUCACGCCCUUACCGGGAUUACAUCCAAGGGCCCGGAUCGGUCCAUAGGCACUGAUUGGCCCAACCGCAUACUAGAAGCAGCCACAAACACGAACCACAAGGGUGCCCAAAUAGCCACGUUAAUGGAAAGAUCCUUUCUUUCUUACCCCCCAGAUGUGGUCUAUCCACAUAAAUUCCUUGAAAGGAAUACUCUGUACAUAGUUUUUAUACCUUCCCCUAGUUCUCCUCCCCUAAUCCCACAUCCCCAAGGUCGGCCACUACCCACAAAUGGAACUAACACAUCUCCAAAUCCAUACCACUACCUAAUGGUGUACAUUAUGCAACGACACGCCAAUGCUAUCCUAGAACCAACAGGCAACACGGCCACACAACAUUCCCAUUCCCAAUGUGGGGGCAACAUCAGACAAGGACAAGCGAGACCUAGACAGCUACACUAUAUAACCCUCCCAUAGUAUGAGAAUACAAACUAUUAAUGCACGUGGACUGAACACCCCACACAAAAGGAGACUCUGCAUUGAGGACGCGAAGCGUGCUAAAGCAGAUAUCUUAUGUGUCCAAGAAACUCACUUUGUACACAACAGAGUGCCCAGAUUUGCAGACAGAGAAUACCCCACACAAUACCACUCGACAUACUCCUCUAAAUCGAGGGGUGUCUCCCUCUUCAUACACACCUCAAUAGCAUUCGAACUUCUCCGACUCAAAAAAGACACACAAGGCAGGUAUCUUAUACUACACGGUAAAAUCAACGACACCCUACACACAAUAGUGAGACUAUACGGACCAAACAGUAAUCAAAGAAACUUCCUACAGAAAGUACUAAAUAAACUACCUAACACGUACCAAUCAUCCACAAUCAUAUGCGGAGACUUAAAUCACAUCAUGCAACCCCGAUUAGAUACUACACUGUCGGAAACAACACCCAGGAGCAAAAUACAGGGAAAACAGGCUAUAGCACUCACGAAGCUCCUCUCCGAACACGGGCUUUAUGAUAUUUGGAGGACACAGCAUCCGAAUGAACGGGAAUUCACAUUUUACUCACCAGUACAUAAAACAUACACAAGAAUUGACUUUAUUCUAAUUUCGGGCGACAUGUUACCAAUGGCAACGCAUAGUGAGAUAGGGAACAUAAUCUGGUCAGACCACGCACCAGUACAACUUACCCUGAGGGACAAAUUUCAGACCAGAGGGGCGACACUCUGGCGCCUAAACGACACUCUCCUCCAUAACCAAGAAUUUAAAACCAAACUUAACGAAGAGAUACUUUCGUUCUUUACCUUAAACGAAACACCCGAGGUCUCACUAGCCACAACAUGGCAAACACAUAAAGCAGUCAUACGAGGCCUCCUGAUUAGCCAGGCAUCCCACCUGAACAAGCAAGCAAAGAAAGAGUAUAUAGACCUCCUGAGGUCACUUAGGGACGAAACAUCGGCGCAUAUUAUGCACCCAUCCCCCUCCACACAGCAGCGCAUAGCCCAGCUUCAAGGGAAACUAAAUGACAUACACCUGCGCACCACAGCUACCAUAUCACAUAAAUUGAAACUCAAAACAUACACCCAGGGAAACAAGGCAGGGAAGACACUGGCAGCACUUCUGCGACAGAAACGGCAAAAUGCAAAAAUCCCAUUUCUAUUGAACGCUAUAGGCAAUAAAAUGUAUAGCCCACAUGAUAUAAACAACGCGUUAGCGGACUACUAUGAUACACUAUAUAACCUGAAAAGGGAUCAGCAGACACACCAGCCACUCCCAAAGGAGAUAGACGCAUUUUUAAUGGAAGUACAGCUGCCGAAACUAUCGGAGGCAGACCAGACUCUAUUGGAAGCUCCCGUUACCCAAACUGAAAUUGCAAGCAUUAUUAAAGCCCUCCCAAAGGGGAAGUCACCAGGCCCAGACGGCUUCACGAACUUAUACUAUAAAAUUUUCUCCCACAGUCUCACCCCCAAAUUGGAAAAACUGUACAACAAUAUUCUCACGACAGGCUCUAUACCAAGGGAAAUGCUGCUAGCCCACAUAACCACACUGCCAAAACCAGGGAAGCCUCCAACUAAAUGCCAGAACCUGCGUCCUAUAUCGCUACUAAACACUGAUUUAAAAAUAUUAGCGAAAAUUUACGCAAAUAGGCUAGGAAACAUAUUACCAUCCCUGAUUCGAGAUGAUCAAGUGGGGUUUGUCCGGGGUAGGCAAGGCUCAGACGGAACCAGGAAACUGAUCAACAUCCUGCACAAGAUCCAGAAAACCGGGACCCCCAGUGUGGCACUGUCACUAGACGCUGAGAAGGCGUUUGACAGGCUGCACUGGGGAUACCUGGAGGCUGUGCUAAGGAAACUCGCAUUUCCCGAGUGCUUCAUCACACUAGUCUCGGCACUAUAUGACAACCCGACAGCAAAAAUAGCCAACGGCGGGUUUACCUCCAAACCCUUCCACAUCUCCAAUGGGUCCAGACAGGGCUGCCCACUCUCACCCUUACUAUAUAUACUAGCACUAGAACCCCUGGCUCAACACGUUAGGGAGUCACAUGAGGUCCAUGGAAUACAAAUAGGGGGAGAAACACACAAAAUUACCCUAUUUGCUGACGACGUAAUGCUCACACUGUCUAAACCUGACAUUUCUCUGCCACGGCUUCGAACUAUACUAACAAAAUUUAGCAACUGCUCAUACUACAAGCUCAAUGUCACCAAGACACAAGCUAUGGGCCUCAAUAUCCCUAAAGAACAACUUACCCACCUACAAAACACAUACACAUAUGACUGGCGAACUGACCAUUUGACCUUCCUAGGUAUAGAUCUCACACCCAAGACGCAAAAGCUGUAUAAAGCGAACUAUUUAAAACUCCUUAGCGCAAUUAAACAACAAUUACAUAGCUGGAAAGGGAAAUACAUCUCAUGGCCAGGCAGAAUAGCGGCAGUUAAAAUGAUGGUACUACCACGACUACAGUACUUAUUUAGAACACUCCAAAUACAGCUACCACGCCAAUUCCUUAAAGACGCACAGCACUCCCUAAAUCAAUUCAUAUGGGAUGGGAAACGACCUCGAACGGCGGCCGACACCAUGUAUAGGCCAUUCAAGGAGGGAGGAAUGGGGGCCCCUGAGAUCGCAAACUAUUACACAGCUGCCAUGAUGAGCACACUCGUAUCCUCCUUCCACUACACAAUACCACCAAAGUGGAGUCACAUAGAAACCGCAAACACGGGCGGACUCUCGAUGUCCACCCUUGCUUGGAUACCUAGGCAUCUGAGACCAAAAUACCCAGACAUAUGCCCAACCACGAGGGCCACACUCCUCCUAUGGGACAAGUACACCAAGAAACACUAUCCCACCUCAUACAUAUCCCCAGCACUACAAAUUCCAGCAUUCCAACUCCUCAUUCCGGGAUUCGAUCAUGGCCUAUGGUGCAAACACGGAGCCACACGCCUAUCGCACUUAAUGAGGGACGGUCGCCUAAUAGACUUUAGUACUCUAUCCAACCAGUACAACCUACCUCCCAAAGCCUAUUUCUCAUACUUACAAUUGCAAUCAUGGGCGAGGAAGAAUAUAGGUCUAGAAGCUGCACAAACGCAACCACAGACACUGACAGAGAUAGAAAAAGUAUGUAUGGCCCCAAAACCACCACAGAAAAUGCUGUCACUCCUGUAUAAACUGACCAAAAAACAAGACCAACCACAGAAAUUAAGCUUCAUGACGGCAUGGGAAAAAGACCUGAAUCUGACUAUAUCCAAUGAGGUAUGGUCAAAAAUACUGUUAGCACACAAAAAUCUCACACUAAAUGCAUCCCAUAUUGAGACUAGCAGGAAAGUGUUAUAUCGCUGGUACAUGGUACCCACCAGGCUGAGCAAAAUGGACCCAAGUAAGUCAGGGACAUGCUGGAGAUGCUUACAGGAACCGGGGUCAAUGCUCCACAUAUGGUGGACCUGCCCAGGAAUUAGGCCCUUUUGGAAAAGCGUCUCGAAUAUCAUAACCAAAUCCACUGGCAAUACUCUGCCACACUCCCCAGAAACAUAUUUACUGCUAGCCCUGCCACAUAAGCUCUCAAAAGCUGAUAUGUACCUAACAUACCACAUUAUUAUCACAGCACUAAUGGCUAUAAGCAAGACUUGGUUGAGCACACACCCACCCAGCACUCAACGAUGCCUAGAUAUGAUAGACACUACCCAAGGGUAUGAGAUAGAAGCUAGGCGACUAAGGCCGACAAAUAAAGCCUGGCAAACAGCGUGGCAGACAUGGACAGCAUGGCGACAAAAUGCCACACAGGAUGGCAGUCAUGGCACUAGCUAACUCUUGGAAACAAUUCCAGACGUUCCAAACCGACCUUCCCCUCCACCCUUCCUCUUCCCUCCUCUUCCCCCCCCCUACAAUAAUAGGGUGAUACCUAGUCGCAAGACUAGGUUAGUUGUCACAUAACACUGGUACAGGUGCAAGCCACAACGUUAAAUGCUAUGGCACUGAGAUGCUGUGACUGGCCUCCCCAACAAGUUGUUGGGGUUCCCAAACACUGGACGAAGUAUGAAACACUUCCUAAAGAUGUAUAAAGCGAAAUGUAAUUGUUAUUCUGCAACUGUACAAUUGUGUGCAUCUGUUACCACUAUUUUAAACUCAAUAAAAAAUAUUACACACAAAAAAAUAAUUGUUUGAAGUGAGACCCACAGAUGGUAAUGUAACUGAUAUAAGGAGUGCUUACCAAAAAACACAAAGUGACAAAUAUAAAUACAAUAAGAUAUCAGUGUACAUACAAUCACCAGUGAUGAAGUGUAUGGAUUUUAAACACAAAUAAUACAACCAUAUCACUAGCAGACACAGGGAUAUCAAAUGAUACCUAGAACAAAAUAUUAAAACAACAUAGUGUAUACUGUUUAAAAACAUAAAACAUACAAAUGUGAUAAUAGGACUACCAUUUACAUGGCCCAGAGCUGUCCCAGGCUCUAUAUCUCAGCCUCAACGGUGCCAAUACUGACUACAGGAUCCACUUGAUCACAGCAGGAUACUCGACAUCAGGUGCUUUGUAAAAUGAAAACGUUAUUCCAGGAUACAUAAAAUAAUAUAAACGCUGAUGGGUACUUUAACUCAGGUGGCUGUGAAACCUACUAGUAAAGUCACACUUACCACCGAAAACAGUAACCCACAAAAAUGUAAAGUUCAAAGUUACAAAUAGCAGUCACGUUUCGGCUCAAAAUGCCUUCUUCCAGUGUGGGCUGGAAAAAGGCAUCUGCUAUUUGUAACUUUGAACUUUACUUUGAACUUUGCCCAGUCUACUGCUGUGAUCAAGUGGAUCCUGUAGCCAGUAUUGGCACCCUUGAGGCUGAGAUAUAGAGCCUGGGACGGCUCUGGGCCAUGUGAGUGGUAGUCCUAUUAUUAUAUUUUUAGUGUUUAUGAAUGUGUAUGUUUCAGUGAAAGUGUGUGUUGGCUAAACAGUGUGUGUGACAAUGACUGCAUAUCUGUAAGUGAGUGUAUGUCAGUGCAUGCAUCAGUGAGGGUGUGUGUCUGUCAGGAAGAGAAAUUUGGAGGGGGGGCAUGCCUGAGUUUUGUCAUGGGCCUAGGGCAGCACAAAACCAGAAUACACCACUGACUUUGUGUACACCAUGUAGAUAUUUCUGUUUCUUAUGCUAUAAUUUAUUGUCUUACACCAGGGGCUUUUUACUCUCCUUUGUCCAGUACACUUUCACCAAUCCUUCCCUGCUGUGAUCUUGCGUACAUAUCCCCACUCACAACCAUUACCCUUACAUCCCCCUUCCACACACACUCCACACACGUGGCAGUUUGAUUAUGGAGGGCUCUGGCCUUAUUCUGGUGUCCGACCUUUGUGUUGGAGAUUUUGGGGCAUGCAUAACAUAUGAGGAGGGGUUUUCCUUCUGAAAGCUCUGUUGUAUGAAUGUGAACACACAUCUUGUUUUUAAAUAUAGCACCAGCUGGAAAGGCCUUGAGAAGAAGCACUGAAUGCAGGACUUGUAUUAUACAGGAUGUAUUGGGAGGGGUAGGGAGGAAAACACAGGGCAAGCAAGAGUGAAAUGGGGAAUAGUGAAAAAUGCAUUUUAACAGAAAAAUUAAGAAAUGGGGGAUGUGUUUGCAGUGAAAAUGAUAAGUGCAUCUUGAGAAAAACAAGGAUUUUAAAGAGAUGCAGAGGGAAUGAAAAAAGUAUGCAUCUGCAGUGAGAAAAGCUAGAAUUUAAGGAAGUGUAAAAUAUAAAAGAUGGGUAAUUGAUAAAUGGUACAUACAGAGAGUGAGACACUUUUGUCAUUCCACGCAGGACAUUUUUUUCUGCAGACAUUAUCAGAAAUUUGGAUUUGUAUUCUUUAACGUCAGUAGAAAACAUUAUUAGAUUAUUCCCAAUGCACAGUAGCCUAUAAUGGGCAGUUUACCCUUUAAAUAAGAUUAUGAAUAUAAUGAUGGAUAAUUACCAGAUCCAAAACUUUUGAUUGAUUAAAGCAACUCUAUCACCUUCUGGUUUACAUAUUUUACAAAGACUUCAGAUGGUGACUGCCCUGCUUCAGGUGUGGUGCCCUGGGGGUGCAGUGAAAGGUACUUUUAACUUACCUGAACCUGUCCCAUGUGGGCGCUACCAUCUUCUUCCGCAAGGUCCGAGUCUCGUAUGGUGGUGUCAGUGUUGUACUGUCGUGUGUGCAUGAGAGUACAACACUAAUGUCAGUGGAGGAUCUCACAAGACCAUGUGAUGCGCAAUAGACAGAGCUUUUCCCCCCAAGCCUUUCACAGUGAUAGGUGACAGCGAGCUGAACACUACUUGCGCCUGCACUGCGCCUUGUAGAUUGCACAGACCAAAUGCUCCACGCGGCCGCACAAUCCAAAAAUAGAACUAGCAUAUAAUAAGUACCAUUCAGCUCGGCGAACCACUCCUCCUCCUGGUUUGCACAGGCCGAAAUUCACAAAGCCGCUGCUUUCAUGCAUAUUUCCAGACACUGACGGCUUGAAUGGCGUGUCUUUGAUUAGUUCAAAUGUUGUGACAUCACGCUCACCCUUAGUCCACGAGGUGGACCAAUUUUAACAUAUGUAAACCUAUAAAAUGCUAAUUUGGGCUCCAAUUCAGUGCCCUAUCAAGGUUUCUGCCUUGAUACACGUUUGGUGCUUUUAGUAAGUCUUCCUUGAUAGUCUGAUAUUGACCUUGGCUUGUAUUUGAUUUCAUGUAUUUCUGGUAUCCUGACCUGGCUUGUUUCUGACUUUGAGUAUUUCUGGAAUCCUAACCCAGCUUGUUUCUGACUUUGAGUAUUUCUGGAAUCCUGACCCAGCUUGUUUCUGACUUUGAGUACUUCUGGAAUCCAGACCCGGCUUGUUUCUGACUUUGAUUAUUUCUGGUAUCCUCACCCAGUUUGUUAUUUCAUUUAUCCUUGUUUCUAUUAUCCUGACCUUGGCUAUUACUGACUUUGUCUUUAGCUUUCUUACAUUAAGUUUGGAAACUCUAAAGCCAGGUAAUACGUCUUUUUAGAACCUCUUUUUAUGGGAUUCGCCAUUUCCUGUAAAUUAGGGUAUGACCCCGUGACAUGUAUUAUGUGGAUUAAUUCAUUAUGCCUUUAUAAAUUUUUUUAUUAAUAAGUGAAAAAAAUAAACAUGUGCUUUUUGACUUGUUUUGUAACUAUUUAGAAUAAACAAAGUGAUCAUCUGUCAAACGUUAUACCACAGUAGAUAAUCGAUGAGCUCAUGCUUUACUAUCUGACUUCCUACAUCAAUAAUCUGUUAACCCUGGGUCAUACAUAAUCAGCUAUAUUUGCAGGGCAGCAAAUUACUGUUAGAAACCUAUAAUCAGGAAUUGUAACAGUUCUGCAUAAUAGACAAUAUAGGAACGCUCAAGAAAAUUUUUCUUUUCGUCUUAUCUAAACCUUUAUUGACCUAAAUCAAGGGCUGUCCACACCACUUAUCAUCUGGAAGUUUCCCAAGUUAUUUAUAGAACCAGUGGGCCUUCUAUCCACCUUCUUGCCUGCUUAACUUAACUUGACCCCAAGAGCAAAAUUUCCCUUAUUCAGCUAAAGUUCUAGAACAGAAACGUGUGCAUCAAUAAUUAAUGUUUGCAUAUAAAUUGUUCCACUUAUAUAUACUGUGGUCGUACAAAGCGAGUGAGCAAUCUGAUCUGAAGGUAAUAGCUCAUUGACCAAGACUAAGGUUGGAGCUUAGUCACGGUAAUUAGAACCACAGAGAUAACCAACUAAUGAAUGUAAAAAACAAGUAGAUCAAGCCCUUUUCCUUAACUUACCUAGAACAUAGGCAACUUCAGUGUGUGUGGCUUUAGUGGUCCCUUAACUGCAUACCUACUGUAUAUGAAAUGUGACUGUGUCAUGAUUUUGUUUUUGAGGCCACUUGUAUUUUGCAGUCACGUAAGGAGAUAUAGCGUAAGAUAUUAAAUUAUGCACGUACACAAUUUGUAAAGUGUUUAUUUCCUCUCUGUUAUUACUUUUCCCAGUUGCUAAAGCAGUUGAAGAUGAAUAGCCAUCCAGAUGAGGUGGUCCAAAGUUAAUGCAGUGGAAAAAUACAAAAAUAAGUGGCUACAGCUGUACUAUUCUGCUUUAAGCUGCAGAUCAUUCAAGCCAACAUAAUGGGGCAGCCAAGUAUUGACACUUACUCUAACUGCAAUUUGCAGUUUGUUAAACUUAAAUGUACAUUUUUGUAACGGCAAGGGGUUAAACCGCCGUUUAGUAGAUCUUCCCUUCCAGAGACACAGGCACAGCUACUGCAGAACACCAAUCCGCCGAACCGGAGAAUCAUAUGAAUGCUGUAAACAGCUGAACCGGAACCAUAUGAAUGCUGUAAACAGCCGAAUAGGAAAAACCAUACGAAAGGUUUACACUCCUAGCAGUCGAACUGGAACAGCAUACAAUAAAUCCCCCCCAAGAACGAGACAAAGCUCCGUGUUGAGGGUCAAGCAGUGAACAGACAGAGCUGUGGGUUUAUUGUUCUUAUAUACACAGUAGUACAGCCCACAGGGUUUUGGAACACAACCAAUAAACACAUACAAUACACUCAGACACUCCCACACAAAAUCCUCCCCUCUGCCUGUGAUUCAAUUACCUUACACAAUGGGUAAUGUAAUUAUAACAAGCAGAGAAAUACAAUUUUUACACAUUAUUCAUAACUUGAAAAGUAUGCAUCACAUUCACAUAUAACUUACAUUUUCAGAAUCAGCAUACUCCAAAUACAAACAUACAUCAAAAUCAUACAAAUUGGUCCAGUGGUUCAAAAGAUAGAUCGUAGUCCUUUGUGACCAAAGGAAGCAUGGCUUUUCUGCCCAAAACCAGUUCCACAGAGUCUUCUAUCCUGGAGAUAAUUGGGAAGUAAUCCAAUUAUCUCCAAAGACAGAGGCAAAACUCCAUUGAACACAUGGCAGCAAAAGACAAUAAAACACAUAAAAACAUAACUUUGCAGCCAUUGCACAAAACAGGUACAUUCAACAUAUCCCCAGAUAGCUCAGAUCUGAGCGCACAUUAUUACUGAAUGGCGCUCAGAGCACACACAUACAGUUCAAUUGCCAUGGAGCCAAAGUCUUUCCCAUAGUCUUUCAUUAUACGAAUGGGCUCCAUGGCAUAGCUAUCUGGGGUAUCACCGCUCAAACAGGGCAAGCACCAAAUGACCCGGCUUUCAUGUCUUUGCAGGGGAAAAUCAAGCCUUUUAACAUGGGGCCAUAAUCCAAAGGCAACAGGCGAGCAACCAGGCUUCUCCAAUGCAAUGUGGCGAGAUUGGUCUCGUCACAAUUUUUAUUCACCCUUUUUUCCCUCAAGUCACCCUUUAUUUAAUAGAAAACAAUUUCAAAAAUAAUUUUAAAAAAAGCAUUUGUGUCUUAAUGUGACUUACCGUAAACCAAUGGCAAAUACACAGGGAAGACAGGGAAGGCUUUGCCUCUUAGGUGGACUGGACAUGCACAAAUUUGUUUAUUUUAAAUUCUGUUUGAUGUAGACAUAAAAGGGUUACUCAAACCAAAAACAGUAUUUUCAUAAAACACUGUUUUUGGCUAGGGUAACCCUCACUUUCUUGGUCCGCUGCACCCCUCCCCCGUAUUUUUUUUUUUUAAAGCUGAAACUUACAUGUGUAUGAGCGCUGAGAUAAUGUACUCCCUGCAGCGCAAGCCUCCUAUUUUUCCCCUGUGUCAGGGCAGGCGGUCUAAGUGGAAGACAUGGGUGGCAUGGAGGGGGGAAGGUGUGCCACCAUUGGAUGUCCAAUAUGCACAGAAUUAACAUUAGCCUCCCAGAACUCUUGUUCUGGGAUGACUAAUGACUCCCUAAUACCGCUGCUGGAGAUGGAAUUACACAUCCGGCAGCUGAAGUGAUACUCUGUACAUGCAGAUGUGGUAGACGAGGAAGGAAGACUGCAGUAGUGGUGAAUGUGCCAAUACUCAGUGACGAUAACAUCAAGAAGAAGCAACAUGAGAACGUGAACUAAUAUCAAGGACUAAAAGAGGAGAUAAAAAAAUAUGUGGAAAGGGAAGACAGUAGUACCCUCAGACGUGACAGGAGCACUAGGGGUGUAACCUACACGUUGAGUGAGUAGCUUCAACAGAUUCUAGGUGGGACAUCUGUGAUCUUUGUCCAGAAGAGUGAAAUUCUUGGAACAGGUAAGGUAGUAUGCAGAACCUUCAGAUUCCCAGGCCUCUGGUAGAAGAACCGAGAAUUAGGAAUUUAUUUUUGGUAAUAAAGUGCAAUGGAAGCAAGACCACAAUACAGUGCAAAUAAUGAAAUUUAUUAGGACACUGUAGACACCCUGACUUAAUCUCAAUUAAAUAGUCUAUGUGCAGCACCCCUGAUGUUUUGCUCCCACAAUGUUAUACAUUGCUAUUUUAGAGCUAUGGCAAUGUUUACAUUGCCGGGCUAAACACACCUCUCGUGGUUGUUACACUAAUAGCCACUAGAUGGUGCUUCCGCAAAGACAACUGAGUCCAAUAUGGUUCUUAAAGUUCGACGUCCUCACGUAUUGAAUGUGUGGACAUUGAACAUUCAAUCAAUGCUACUCUAUAAAAAUAAUUUGAUUCGAUGAGAAGUCAAAAAGGUGUCAGCAGGCAUGAAGACAAAACAAGAGGCGGAGAGCUUGGCUGCAAGGGCUGGAUCUCGGUGCUAAAUAGAAGGAGAGAAAAUGGUUAUUUACUGUACAUUUUUCAACAUUAAAUGGGGGCAGGAGUUACAAAAGCUCCAAUAAGAGAACUCUCUCCUUUGCCAACCCAUGUGCUCUGUACCGGCUAAUUGGUGCAAUCACAGGUCCAUCCACAGGCUUCUUAUAUUAUAUUGGAAAGGUGCCCCCUCUCAAAAGGGUUAUAGUAACCCUUUAAAGUACCUACUAUAUGAGCUCUCAAUGCAGAGGCAUUCGGGCAUGCUGUACCAGUAUCCUUGAAGUUCCCAUGGAACACUGAUCCAAUGUGUUCAGCCAUUUCUCUGUUAUUCUAUUUAUGUUGCAUGUCGCGAACAACAGACAGUACCUCAUACCCUCUAACUGACAUUUAGUUCCUUCUUACCAGACUCCCGAAUUUUAAACAUUCCCGAUUGAAACACAGGCCCCCUAAUGACAUUUAAACUCUUCUUUUAAAAGAAAAAGACCAUCCCCUUCAAGAUAUCUAACCCCUUCCAUAGCAGAGAGGCCUGCUCCUAGAUCAUAUUUAGACAUGACUUCUCUUGCAGGCAUUUAAAAGUUUUUUUCUGCCAUACAAACUGGAGACUUAAUUGACCUUUAUCUCAUUCUUGAAUAACCUUUAACUCCUUUUUCUACCCUAUAUGGGGUGGUUGCAAACUCCUAAAUGUUGCAAAGUUUAUUGGAGAACAGAUCUUUAUCAUUGCUCUUUGUUGACAGACACAAGCUUGUGUUACAAAUUGUACAGGUUUGUUUAUUUAAUUGGGCACCAGCAAUUCUGCCUUGUCUAAACUGGAUUAUGAUGUCAUUAACUAAAUGUUUAAUAUACAUUUUUUAAAGAAAAGUGUACAUCUCAUGAAAAAAAUGUUAAAACAAACUAGAGGGGAUUUUUCUUUAUUUAAUUAUGUAAAAGCCAGAGAAGUAACAUUUCCCCUUUAAAUCCAACACUCGUAAACCUUUUGAUUAUUAUUAUUUUUCACCCAUUUUUCUUAUUACUUGAGAUCUGGUUUGUAAGUUUGUAUUUUUCAUUCUUAAAGGGACAGUUUAGGCAAGAUAAAAACUUCAUGUAAAUGAAGUUGUUAUGAUGCCAGGAGGCUCUAGGGCACACUAUUACCUUGAGGGUUUAACCCCUUAAGGACACAUGACAUGUGUGACAUGUCAUGAUUCCCUUUUAUUCCAGAAGUUUGGUCCUUAAGGGGUUAAACUGUUCUCAAACGGGUUAACGCCAAAUUGAGUUUCCGGCGCAGCAUCUGGCUUCUGAAAUUUCAGUUUUGGGAAUUAUGUAGGAAAAUAAAGUUUCUUUCAAACCAGUUUUAUGAAUGGGGGGUCACUGAUUGGCUGAGAUUGUCAGCUGACUGCUCUCAGCUUAUCAGUGGCACUUCAUGCUUCCUAAAACUGAGAUUUCAGAAGCCGGAUGCCGCCUGUGUGACCUGAGAUAUGAUGCUGGAGGCUCACUUUGGGGUAAAACCAUUCAAGAUUAGAGAUUAGAGUGCAUAUGGGGGCCUCCUGGCACCAUAACAACUUAAUCUAGAUGAAGUUGUUAUGGUGCCCAUAGUGCCCCUUUAAUCAUACAGAAGUAAAUACUGUUGUUUUGUGACAUUUCCAGUGUUUCUUUUUCAGGAGCAUGGGGUCAGAAAGAUGCAAAUAUGAAUGUGGUAGAAGCUGAAGAGGGGGAUGUCGCCAGCAUUCCCUGCACAGCUUACAGAGCUGAGCAAUCCAGUAACAUCUCUGUUCAAUGGCUAUAUG
Non-coding RNA from Pelobates cultripes (western spadefoot toad), 44301 nucleotides. NCBI's taxonomy places the organism in Eukaryota, Metazoa, Chordata, Amphibia, Anura, Pelobatidae. The record is from the annotation of a GenBank genome assembly.